This 253-nucleotide ribosomal RNA is filed under the name uncultured bacterium. RNAcentral describes it as "partial 16S ribosomal RNA". It matches the Rfam family "Bacterial small subunit ribosomal RNA", at positions 524 to 776 of the family's 1533-position model. The record is from RNAcentral.
UACGAAGGGGGCUAGCGUUGCUCGGAAUCACUGGGCGUAAAGGGUGCGUAGGCGGGAUCUUAAGUCAGAGGUGAAAGCCUGGAGCUCAACUCCAGAACUGCCUUUGAUACUGGGGAUCUCGAGUCCGGGAGAGGUGAGUGGAACUGCGAGUGUAGAGGUGAAAUUCGUAGAUAUUCGCAAGAACACCAGUGGCGAAGGCGGCUCACUGGCCCGGUACUGACGCUGAGGUGCGAAAGCGUGGGGAGCAAACAGG